Molecule: non-coding RNA, 73 nt
Organism: Potamilus streckersoni
Lineage: Eukaryota; Metazoa; Mollusca; Bivalvia; Unionida; Unionidae
Source: the annotation of a GenBank genome assembly
GCUCCGGUGGCCUAGUGGUUAGAGCGUCCGCCUCGUAUGCCGGAGGUCCUGAGUUCUAAUCCCGGUAGAAGCA